GCCUGGGUAGCUCAGUGGUUUAGCACCCCCUUCAGCCCAGGGCGGGAUCCUGGAGACCUGGGAUCAAGUCCCACCUCAGGCU
Molecule: transfer RNA, 82 nt
Filed under: Canis lupus familiaris (dog)
Lineage: Eukaryota; Metazoa; Chordata; Mammalia; Carnivora; Canidae
Also listed under: 1 other name
Rfam family: tRNA
About the family: Transfer RNA (tRNA) molecules are approximately 80 nucleotides in length. Their secondary structure includes four short double-helical elements and three loops (D, anti-codon, and T loops).
Source: Rfam by way of RNAcentral